This 63-nucleotide transfer RNA is filed under the name Metopograpsus quadridentatus. RNAcentral's name for it is "tRNA-Asp". The record is from RNAcentral. Lineage: Eukaryota; Metazoa; Arthropoda; Malacostraca; Decapoda; Grapsidae.
GAGAAAUUAGUUAAUUUAUAAUAUUUGCUUGUCAUGCCUAAGUUGUCUUAUAGACAUUUCUCA